AACCCUUGAAAGGGGCAGUUGAUACUCAGAUUUUUUGCCGCUGGACUCAGGGUUACCAAAAUCUUUACAUUCUUUUUGAGAAGCCAAGACAUUUAUAUUUUUAUCUAUAAUUACCAAUUUUUAAAAUGCGAGUAUCUCUUUCACAUUAAUCUUAAUGGCUGUGUGCAUAAAACAAAAUUCUCCUUUUUGUGUAUUCUGACUUGCUGGCCACCAGUUUGCCAACUUAGAAUAACAAAAUUCCCCAAGGCCUUUCCAGAGUUAGUAUGCUAUGCUUUAUGCUCACAACUGCUAAGAACUUCUGUUUCUACACCCUCACUCCCUGAUCCACAUUUAGACAGUUUCAAAUCCUUGUGCAGAACCACAGCUCUAUUACUAUCUUAGCUCUAUUUUUCUGGACCUUAUCCCCAGCCAGUAAGCAGGCUCUCUGCCAGAUUAGUUAUAUGGCUUAGAAUUCUCAGAGAAUCUGAGAUCCAAAAAUAACUGGCUGUGAAAUGAAACAUCAUCCUCUACCUAUGGAUUAGUACUUUGAGCCAAAAGGAAAGUCAUCAGAAACUAUAGAAAUCCGAAGUCAUGGGUAUGGUGCUAACUGUAGGAUGUGUUACUGCAAAUACAAAAUCGAUUGUAUUUUGUGGUGGGGAGCUGUGGGCAUUCUAAGAGACAGAACUCUAAUUUACUCUUCUCAACAAGCCUUUUGCCCUUGUUGUCUGUGCCACCUGUGUCUCUGGAAGUUUAUCCAAUGGUCAGGCCAUUUUGUACAUUGAAAGAUCUAUAAUGUGCUGAGGUCAUGAACACCCCACCUACAGUUUACAGACAUGUGGUGGGAUUGCAAGUUACCUGGUUUCCUUUUACUUUAUUUAUCAGGUAUGAGAUACUUGAUACAAAUUUCACUUCUGAUAAAGUACUGAUAGUAGAGAAAAUACUAUUUCCUCUUUUCUAUUUUUAAUUUUUUUGUCUUUUUUUUUUUUUUUUUUUUUUUUAGGGCUGCACCAGUGGCACAUGGAGGUUCCCAGGCUAGGGGUUGAAUUGGAGCUGCAGCUGCUGGCCUAGACCACAGCCACAGCAACACGGGAUCUGAGCCGUGUCUGUGACCUACACCACAGCUCACUGCAAUGCCAGAUCCUUAACCCACUGACCAAGGCCAGGGAUCGAAUGUGCAUCCUCAUGGAUGCUAGUUGGGUUCGCCAACCACUGAGCCAUGAUGGGAACUCCAUUCUUUUUUUUUUUGUCUCUCUUUUUUAUUUUUAAAGAGAGACAACUUUAUGAUUAUAAAACAGGUACCUCUGCUGCUGGAGGAUGGGUCUUGAAGGUUCUCCAGGUAUGUGGAUCACUAGUGAAAACAGUAAUGACUUUAAAACAGUGAAUAGUUAAGGAAUAUGGCCAUAUUCCUGGUACCAAGAUAAAUACUUAGCAUGUAUCAUUUUACUUUAGCUUCAGAAUUACCAUAGAGGUGAGCACCAUUGUCGUUCCCAUCUUAUGGGUCAGAAAAUUGAAACUUGGAGAGAUGGUGACCUUCCCAGGGUCAUACUGUCACUCGCUGGUAGAAUUAGAACUGUACUAUCUCUUCUCUCCCACAAAGACACCAUCUAGAAAAUAGAGAAAGUUUCAUUAAUGAUACAGAAUGUGUAGAAUUUAUAGCAGCACCAUUAACGUAUUCAUUAAUGGUAUUUAUUGCUUUGUGACAGAGCCAUGUAAAUACCUGGCUAUUAAUAUUUUCCAUGGACACCUCCUUGUGGAAGUCUGCAAGACUGAUCUUUCAUAUAGCAGGAUAAAGUAGUUACUGGACUAGGUCACUGCAGAGAUUUGAAUCAGCCAUGCCUAGAAAUGAAGCAUCAAGGGGCUGGCUUCAAGGUACUAUCUCAUUCUGAAUCUCUAAAAUGCUUUAUUCUAGUAAUUUGGGAGAUCUCUUCCUUGAAAAUCAUUUUCCAUCUUUUUAUAAGUAAUACUGGAAUAAAAAGGAAAAGAAUUCUAUAAGCCAGUGUAGCAUAAAGUUUACAUGAUUAAAUUCUAAUAUGAACUACCAUGGAUUCAAAUUCCAUUCAGUUUCUAGCUGUUUGAUGUUGGACCUGGCCCUUAACUUCUCUGAGUCUCAAUAUUUUCAUCUGAAAAGAGGAAUAAAAAUCUCAGAAUUCUGGGGAUAAUUAAAUGAGAGUAUGCAUGUAAAAUCUCUAGCAUAGUGCUUGGCACAUACUAGGUAUACAAGGAAAGCUUUUUUUGUUUUGUUUUUGCCCUUUUUUCCCACUGCAGUUGCUAUCCACAUACUCAAAUUGAAAUUUUGAAUCUAAUAUUAUCUUGACUACGUGCAGUUUAUUUUGUCUAUUUUGCUUUCAAGGUGUUUGCACACACUUUCUAUCAUUUGGGCACUUUUGCCAGAACAGGGCAGAUCAUUAAUCCUCAUUUUAUGCAUGGAGAAAUGCCUAAGCAAAGAUGACCAGCAUCUCUACAGAAACAGCCUAUACUUUGCCCUCUGCCCAACACUGUCUUCUUAUUUGUAGAGCUACAGACAGAAAGUGACUUUGUUAAAAAGUUUGCUCAUGGCCUGUUGUUCCAACUAUUGGUCCAAGAAUUUUGGUUGCAAAUGUUGUUCCCACCAAUGUACAAUACAGUAAGGAAGAUAUUGUUUGCUAGAUAAAUGAAAUGACUAUAGAGAAGAUGACAUCAUCUUUUGUGACAUAAAUCACAGACCACCCUUAGAUGCCAUAACUCACGACACCUUUUCAACCCCACACUACCCUACUCAACAAACAAUGGAUCAAAACCUCCUUCAGCCCAUCUAACCUUCACUAUUGGAUGUUUAAGAAGCUCAAUCUUCAGUUUGAUCAUAUCCAUCUGAUUUUAGGUCUUACUUAAGGUAAUUAGCCUGACCUGCUAAGCUUUCCCAACAAGUACUGUUUAGCAAGUCUCAGAGCCACUAUUUAUGGUGUUUCUAACAUCAAGGAUGCCCUCUCUCUCUUCCCUUCUCAUUAAGUAUUCAGGUUUUAUACACUGUUCAUGUUAAACCAAACUAGAGAUAUACAGACAUACCUAAUAAAGUGCUGCCUCAUCAUACAGCUUUAAUAAAUUGUAUGUCUAUCUUUCAUUAAGAUCUAUUUCCUGUUUCUCUGACAUUCUAGCCCACACACCCUCCUUCCUUUGACCUCAGCUCAAAGGAGAACAAUUUCAAGUGCAUGCUGUAAGUACAAAGCUUAGGUCAUAGUUUUCUUCUAUUGUUUCUUUUGUUACUGCCAAAAUUCUCAUCCUAGGCAUUCUUGCCUAAACAUAACACAACUUCUCAAAUGCUGUCUGUGUCAAUAAUUUCUCCUCUCUCCCACAAUGUAUCAUUUCAACUGACUCCAGAGUGAUUUUCUUCCAGUGAAAAUAAGAUCCUGUUUUUCUGUAAUUGGAAAACCUUCUCUGACUCUCAUUACCUGCAAGAUAAAGUUAAAAUGCCUUAGCCUAGGGGUCUCUGAACAGCCCCAUUAUUUUAUCAUCACUUCCAUUUUUAUUUGUGUUAUUCUCUUAUUUGACUCUCUUCUCCACACCUAUCCCAUCUGAUUUCCCCUCAUCUAGAUCCUAUCCACUCUUAAGAAUUUAGAGUGAGUUUUAUUUUCUCCAUAAACAUUUCUGACCUCAAGCUCAGAAUUAGCACUUUCUAUGUCAAUCUCUUUACACCUCCUUUGUAACCUUUGGCUCAUCCAUUAGAUUGGAAACUUCUUUAGCAUUUGGGCUGCCUUAUUUGUGUGGCAUUACAACAUCUAAUAUAGUUCCUAAUUAUUAUUAUUAUUUUGGUGAGAAGGAAGACUAUUAAGGCAGGAAAGCUCUUCAACCAAUGCCAUAAAGACUGUGAACAGUUAAUAAAUGUAAGAUGUGUGUAGUUACAGAUUACAUCAGGAAACAACAGGCUACACCAGCUCUUUUAUGUUUCCUUAGAGGUACACAUUUAUUAAGUGUGCCCUUCAAAAUAGUGUAAACUUGAGAGAGUUCUUGGUGAAUGUUUACAGGGCAUGCAGUGGAGCCCAGAGGAGUUACUUAAAUCUUCUGUUCCUUUACUCUCACCUUUCCUCCCCGCAUUGCCCUCUGUUCCUCCACCUUACCAACCCAUGGGGCAGGCAGGGGCAAACAGGAGAUCUCAAAAGCUUAAUAAAUCCAGUAUGCAGAAUAAGUUCACUUUUUAGCUCUUUGUCAGGACAGAUCCCAAAGAGAGGUGUUUUGUGUUAGAAAUAAGAAAGCCCACAUAAACUAGCAAAUUAGCAUAGACUAGCCCCAGUUAAGUCUGGUCUUGAAAAAAUUGGGCAGAAAACGAGUAAGGCAACCCAUGGUAAUUAAAAAUGUAACUUCUAGUGCAAACACUGCAUGGAUCUUUGCAGGAAAACUCAUUGUUGUUGGGGAAGUCCUCUCUAGAGGUUGGUAUUUAGUGCAAAGAAUAGUGGAGAAAUUGAAGAUCUGGGGUUUAGGGAGGGUGGGGUUAUAUUUGUAACUUGUUUAAUUAAGGUGAACAAUUUGAGGGUGUUUUCUAGGAUCAUGAGUAAAUAAACAGUCUUUUAUUUAUUUAUUUUUUAAAAUUCUGGCUACUGCUCAUUCUUCUGAUUAGUAGGGCUGAGGCCCCAAAGUGGUGGUGAGUUCCUGGCAAGCAUUUUGUGCAACGUGACAGUGUACCCUACACUUUCUACCCUGACAGAGCUGAGUGUGCUAAAAGUGAGUAUCUGACUCAAGCUAGCUGCAGCCUGGAUUUAUCUGGAGUCAAUUUGUCCAGGUGACUGAACAUGGAACUUGAAGCCCACCAAUAGCCAUAAGCUUCACUUGACCUCAGAACAAGAGGGAGCUAUUGUGCAACAAGAGAAAGGUGAUAAUGACCCAGAGAGGAGAGAAAGACUGACCUAGUGUUUCCUCAUCUCCUUCCCUGAAUUCCCCCAUGUCUUGACCUGCCAUAGGAAUGAACACUUCCACCAUUGCUAAUUCCUUCAUUUACAUUCAGGCAAGAAUUCAUUUUCAAGGAGUUCCCAUCGUGGCUCAGUGGUUAACGAACCCGACUAUAAUCCAUGAGGAUGUGGGUUUAAUCCCUGGACUUGCUCUGUGGGUUGAGGAUCUGGCAUUGCCAUUAGCUGUGGUGUAGGUCACA
RNAcentral lists this long non-coding RNA (5095 nucleotides) under Sus scrofa (pig). RNAcentral's name for it is "lncRNA (ENSSSCG00000054389.1)". Lineage: Eukaryota; Metazoa; Chordata; Mammalia; Artiodactyla; Suidae. The record is from RNAcentral.